Molecule: ribosomal RNA, 92 nt
Filed under: Klebsiella aerogenes
Lineage: Bacteria; Pseudomonadati; Pseudomonadota; Gammaproteobacteria; Enterobacterales; Enterobacteriaceae
Also listed under: 51 other names
Source: RNAcentral
CCACCUGACCCCAUGCCGAACUCAGAAGUGAAACGCCGUAGCGCCGAUGGUAGUGUGGGGUCUCCCCAUGUGAGAGUAGGGAACUGCCAGGC